This is a long non-coding RNA of Anser brachyrhynchus (Pink-footed goose), 1604 nucleotides long. Lineage: Eukaryota; Metazoa; Chordata; Aves; Anseriformes; Anatidae. The record is from Ensembl.
UGAAAUGUCAAAAUCUGCUGUUUUCCCAAGAGUUCCUGUUUGGCUUUCAUAAACAUUUAAUAGCAACUUGUACUUCUAAUAGAAAGUUUUAUAUGAAAAAAUGAUUAAUUACUAAUUUCAAAUACUUGGAUUAGCUUUUCCACUUAUAUCUUGUUAGUCAUUCAGGCAUCCUUUGAUGUUGUUAUUGGGCACUUUUGACCAAAGAUGCUGUAUCCAAUCUUUUUAUAAUAUUUAAGCAAGAAGCAAAGUCAAAGAGUGAAUAUUAAUUAGUAAAAUGCAUAUUGUAACAUACAGAUUCACAUUCUCAUUGUUAGUAGUGCAAAAAAUAUUUUUUCCUCUCAGUGAAAGUAGUAGUGUAGGUUCAAAAAGGUGACUGUCCAUUAGGGGAUGAGUCAAGGCUGUGAUGAUGCAGGCCCUGCUUGUUUUGCUAUAAGAGACUCUUCUUGUUUCAUCAGACUUUGGGGGAGCAAGCAGAUUUGGUACAGCUGUGCUGCUGCCUAAUGAAUUGCUGUGUGUAUUAGGUGGACCUGCCCAGGUCUUAGGGUGGUAAAACAUCCAGGUGAGUUAAAUAUCAGCACCUUGGAGCUUUCCUUGUGAGGUGCCCAGGCAUGACUGAUUAGGAGGAGCUGCUGCUGUCAGGACAGUUAUGCAGGUAGAGGCCCUGUCCUCCCUCCCUGGCCAAGUGGGGAAGCCCCUGAAAAGUGAGCUGGUCUAGGCUGAGAAUGGUGACCAGGUUCAGCCACAGAUCAGACAUCGCUAGUAAAUGCCAGGAGAGUGUCUGUGUCUCAGCCACACCAGCACCACCACAUCCAUGCCCUCAGGCAAUGCCAGAGGAGAGUGAUCCGGGCUAUGAUGUGUGCUGCAAGAGCAGAAGUGUUGUUAAAAAAAUGCAAACCCCUCCACUUGCCAAGAUGCAUGUGUACUUAGCUAUUUACAGCUUUAAAUGAGAAAAUAAGCCUUCUUAGAAUUCUGAAAAUGUUGAAUUUGUUUUUCCCAGCUGGAGAGUGGGGUUUGCUUCAUUUUACAAAUAUGCCUAUGUCAGAAUGUUCUUCAGCAUUUUGCCAGGAAUAUGUGCUGCACGCUAUGGAGUUCAAUGGAAGGAAAGGGGAUUGACUGACUCUCCCUUUGGCAACUGCUGCAUCCACCUGAUGAUUGAAAUAGACCUGGUGAUUUUAGGACACGAUUAUUCCUGUGGAGAGAAAAGAAGAACAGAUGAUUAAACAGUGAAUCCUAAGAUUUCUCCGUUCCUCUUUUUUUAUAUAUUCCUAACAGUUGCACAUGAAAGGUGACCUUCCUUCUGAAAUUUUUCUGCAUCAUAUACCUAGGGCUGCUAUUUGAAUUCAUAUGAGUUCAGAUGACCAUCAUGCACAGAGAAAAUGACAACUUGUUCCACAAUUUGAGUAUUGGGGAUUUCAGUUUUCUGUUUAGAUUUUUUUUUCCCAGUAAAAAAUAGAAUACAGAAAACCAGGACAUAUUAAAGAAAUGGAAUUUCUUUCAAACUGACCACCUUUAUUUCUAUUGCUUCCCUGUAUGUAUGCAAAAAUGGUAAUAGGGAAUCAUCACUAAUGAAAAAAAUAAAUACAUAGUUAAAAUUACUUUUCCCA